Pelodiscus sinensis (Chinese soft-shelled turtle) is the source of this 573-nucleotide non-coding RNA. NCBI's taxonomy places the organism in Eukaryota, Metazoa, Chordata, Testudines, Trionychidae. The record is from RefSeq and is a predicted model, not a curated record.
GCUAUUUUUUCUAAGGCAGGCAGAAGGGAAGUGUAACCAGUAACCUGUGUUUCACUCCAUCAGCUCCCUGACAGCCCCGCUUUGGGAAGUUAAUCUUUUUUCAUUUCGUCUGUCAUCUAGUGCUAUUCGCAUACUCUACAACAAAGUGGAUUUUCAUGAUACUUUACUAAACUGGAUUGAGCUGUCUUCUGCCAUGGAAACAUAACAGUGCCAUGGAAGAGAAAAACUGCAUGUGAAAUCCUGGACUCUAGCAAGGUAUUUCUUCAUUCAUCAACAAAAUGCAGACACCCAUGGGGAACAUAAGGAAUGCUUCAAACCAGAAAAGGAAGAGGAAAAUCAGAUCUAAUAAAAGCAGGAGGAGGUCUGUUGUGGAAGCUGGGGAUUUCAAGGGUUAAGGAUGCUCCAGCUACACCAAUUUUCCUGUGAAUGCAACUUUCCAACCGUGGCCUGGUGGGGGCUCCACACACUCAGUGAUCCACCAUGUGCACUACUGAAGCUGUGCAACGCAGCUGGAGCAGACCCAAGAAUGAAAAACUCUUGGCAUAAACAACGUAAAUGCCAAUAAAUGACAUA